AUACGUAGGUGACAAGCGUUAUCCGGAUUUACUGGGCGUAAAGGGCGUGUAGGCGGCCUUGCAAGUCAGAAGUGAAAUUCCUGAGCUCGACUCGGGCGCUGCUUCUGAAACUGCCGGACUUGAGUGCUGGAGGGGAUAGCGGAAUUCCAAGUGGAGCGGUAGAAUGCGAAGAUAUUAGGAAGAACACCGGUGGCGAAGGCGGCUAUCUGGACAGUAACUGACGCUAAGGAGCGAAAGCAUGGGUAGCAAACAGGAUUAGAUACCCUGGUAGUCCAUGCCGUAAACGGUGGGCGCUAGGUGUAGGGGUCUUCCACGGCUUCUGUGCCGUAGCUAACGCAUAAGCGCCCCGCCUGGGGAGUACGUCCGCAAGGCUAAAACUCAAAGGAAUUGACGGGG
This 396-nucleotide ribosomal RNA is filed under the name uncultured bacterium. RNAcentral describes it as "partial 16S ribosomal RNA". It matches the Rfam family "Bacterial small subunit ribosomal RNA", at positions 523 to 918 of the family's 1533-position model. The record is from RNAcentral.